This 71-nucleotide transfer RNA is filed under the name Quasipaa boulengeri (spiny-bellied frog). RNAcentral describes it as "tRNA-Gln". It matches the Rfam family "tRNA". From Rfam's summary of the family: Transfer RNA (tRNA) molecules are approximately 80 nucleotides in length. Their secondary structure includes four short double-helical elements and three loops (D, anti-codon, and T loops). The record is from RNAcentral. Lineage: Eukaryota; Metazoa; Chordata; Amphibia; Anura; Dicroglossidae.
UAAGGAGUAGUAUAAUGGAAGUGCGAAGAGUUUUGAUCUCCUAGGUAUGGGUUCAAUUCCCAUUUCUUUAA